RNAcentral lists this ribosomal RNA (1457 nucleotides) under Limosilactobacillus reuteri. RNAcentral's name for it is "bacterial SSU rRNA". It matches the Rfam family "Bacterial small subunit ribosomal RNA". The record is from RNAcentral. Lineage: Bacteria; Bacillati; Bacillota; Bacilli; Lactobacillales; Lactobacillaceae.
AUUCCUUGGAAAUCCUGAACAGUUUCUGACCCCUCGUUUGUGGUGCUUGCCUCUGAUUGACCAUGGAUCACCAGUGAGUGGCGGACGGGUGAGUAACACGUAGGUAACCUGCCCCGGAGCGGGGGAUAACAUUUGGAAACAGAUGCUAAUACCGCAUAACAACAAAAGCCACAUGGCUUUUGUUUGAAAGAUGGCUUUGGCUAUCACUCUGGGAUGGACCUGCGGUGCAUUAGCUAGUUGGUAAGGUAACGGCUUACCAAGGCGAUGAUGCAUAGCCGAGUUGAGAGACUGAUCGGCCACAAUGGAACUGAGACACGGUCCAUACUCCUACGGGAGGCAGCAGUAGGGAAUCUUCCACAAUGGGCGCAAGCCUGAUGGAGCAACACCGCGUGAGUGAAGAAGGGUUUCGGCUCGUAAAGCUCUGUUGUUGGAGAAGAACGUGCGUGAGAGUAACUGUUCACGCAGUGACGGUAUCCAACCAGAAAGUCACGGCUAACUACGUGCCAGCAGCCGCGGUAAUACGUAGGUGGCAAGCGUUAUCCGGAUUUAUUGGGCGUAAAGCGAGCGCAGGCGGUUGCUUAGGUCUGAUGUGAAAGCCUUCGGCUUAACCGAAGAAGUGCAUCGGAAACCGGGCGACUUGAGUGCAGAAGAGGACAGUGGAACUCCAUGUGUAGCGGUGGAAUGCGUAGAUAUAUGGAAGAACACCAGUGGCGAAGGCGGCUGUCUGGUCUGCAACUGACGCUGAGGCUCGAAAGCAUGGGUAGCGAACAGGAUUAGAUACCCUGGUAGUCCAUGCCGUAAACGAUGAGUGCUAGGUGUUGGAGGGUUUCCGCCCUUCAGUGCCGGAGCUAACGCAUUAAGCACUCCGCCUGGGGAGUACGACCGCAAGGUUGAAACUCAAAGGAAUUGACGGGGGCCCGCACAAGCGGUGGAGCAUGUGGUUUAAUUCGAAGCUACGCGAAGAACCUUACCAGGUCUUGACAUCUUGCGCUAACCUUAGAGAUAAGGCGUUCCCUUCGGGGACGCAAUGACAGGUGGUGCAUGGUCGUCGUCAGCUCGUGUCGUGAGAUGUUGGGUUAAGUCCCGCAACGAGCGCAACCCUUGUUACUAGUUGCCAGCAUUAAGUUGGGCACUCUAGUGAGACUGCCGGUGACAAACCGGAGGAAGGUGGGGACGACGUCAGAUCAUCAUGCCCCUUAUGACCUGGGCUACACACGUGCUACAAUGGACGGUACAACGAGUCGCAAGCUCGCGAGAGUAAGCUAAUCUCUUAAAGCCGUUCUCAGUUCGGACUGUAGGCUGCAACUCGCCUACACGAAGUCGGAAUCGCUAGUAAUCGCGGAUCAGCAUGCCGCGGUGAAUACGUUCCCGGGCCUUGUACACACCCCCCAUCAGGCCAUGGGUAGUUUGUAACCCCCAAAGUCGGGUCCUUACCUUUAUGGAGGGAACCCCGGCUA